RNAcentral lists this ribosomal RNA (253 nucleotides) under uncultured bacterium. Its description in RNAcentral is "partial 16S ribosomal RNA". It matches the Rfam family "Bacterial small subunit ribosomal RNA", at positions 524 to 776 of the family's 1533-position model. The record is from RNAcentral.
UACGUAGGGUGCAAGCGUUAAUCGGAAUUACUGGGCGUAAAGCGUGCGCAGGCGGUUUCGUAAGUCUGUCGUGAAAUCCCCGGGCUUAACCUGGGAAUGGCGAUGGAGACUGCGAGGCUAGAGUUUGGCAGAGGGGGGUAGAAUUCCACGUGUAGCAGUGAAAUGCGUAGAGAUGUGGAGGAACACCGAUGGCGAAGGCAGCCCCCUGGGCCAAUACUGACGCUCAGGCACGAAAGCGUGGGGAGCAAACAGG